This 66-nucleotide transfer RNA is filed under the name candidate division TM7 genomosp. GTL1. RNAcentral describes it as "tRNA-Lys". The stretch from base 8 to 66 matches the Rfam family "tRNA", at positions 1 to 56 of the family's 71-position model. From Rfam's summary of the family: Transfer RNA (tRNA) molecules are approximately 80 nucleotides in length. Their secondary structure includes four short double-helical elements and three loops (D, anti-codon, and T loops). Lineage: Bacteria; Candidatus Saccharimonadota. The record is from RNAcentral.
AUGUUGCGGGGCCAUAGCUCAGCCGGUUAGAGCACCUGCCUUUUAAGCAGGGUGUCCUGGGUUCGA